GACAGAGGGUGCAAACGUUGCUCGGAAUCACUGGGCGUAAAGGGCGUGUAGGCGGGAAGGAAAGUCAGAUGUGAAAUCCCCAGGCUCAACCUGGGAACUGCAUUUGAAACUCCCUUUCUUGAGUACCGGAGAGGAGAGUGGAAUUCCUGGUGUAGAGGUGAAAUUCGUAGAUAUCAGGAGGAACACCUGUGGUGUAGACAGCUUUUUGGACCAUAGCUGACGCUGAGACACGAAAGCGUGGGUAGCAAACAGG
Molecule: ribosomal RNA, 253 nt
Filed under: uncultured bacterium
Lineage: Bacteria
Description: partial 16S ribosomal RNA
Rfam family: Bacterial small subunit ribosomal RNA
Source: RNAcentral